Molecule: ribosomal RNA, 405 nt
Filed under: uncultured bacterium
Lineage: Bacteria
Description: bacterial SSU rRNA
Rfam family: Bacterial small subunit ribosomal RNA
Source: RNAcentral
UGGGGAAUAUUGGGCAAUGGGCGAAAGCCUGACCCAGCAACGCCGCGUGAGGGAAGAAGGUUUCGGAUUGUAAACCUCUGUCCUUGGGGACGAAAAAAAUGACGGUACCCAAGGAGGAAGCCCCGGCCAACUACGUGCCAGCAGCCGCGGUAAUACGUAGGGGGCGAGCGUUGUCCGGAAUUACUGGGCGUAAAGGGUGCGUAGGCGGUUGUCUAAGUCAGAUGUGAAAUCCCCGGGCUCAACUCGGGUGGUGCAUUUGAAACUGGGCAACUAGAGUGCAGGAGAGGGAAGCGGAAUUCCUAGUGUAGCGGUGAAAUGCGUAGAUAUUAGGAGGAACACCAGUGGCGAAGGCGGCUUUCUGGACUGUAACUGACGCUGAGGCACGAAAGCGUGGGGAGCAAACAG